GUGCCAGCAGCCGCGGUAAUACAGAGACCUCGAGCAUUAUCCGGAUUCAUUGGGCGUAAAGGGUCCGCAGGUGGCCGUUCACGUCACGGGUUAAAUUUUAGGGCUCAACCCUGAAACCGCUCGUGAUACGGUUCGGCUCGAGCAUGGGAGAGGUACGCGGAAUUACCGGUGUAGUAGUAAAAUGCGUUCAUAUCGGUAAGAACACCAAAUGCGAAGGCAGCGUACUGGAACAUUGCUGACACUCAGGGACGAAAGCGUGGGGAGCGAAAGGGAUUAGAUACCCCGGUAGUCCUGGCUGUAAACGAUGGGCACUAGGUGUCGGAGGCUUCGACCCCUUCGGCGCCGCAGUUAACACAUUAAGUGCCCCGCCUGGGGACUACGGCCGCAAGGUUAAAACUCAAAGGAAUUGGCGG
This 413-nucleotide ribosomal RNA is filed under the name uncultured bacterium. Its description in RNAcentral is "bacterial SSU rRNA". It matches the Rfam family "Bacterial small subunit ribosomal RNA", at positions 505 to 916 of the family's 1533-position model. The record is from RNAcentral.